UUCAACUCCAUUUUGUUUUUGUUUUUUUUUUUUUGUUUGCACCAUUAUAUAAAUUUUGAAAUCCCUGCUUGCUAGAAAAAAAGAAGGCUUUGGUGACAUGGGUUUAUGUUAUAUUCCAUCUCUUGCACACUGGACUAGCCAGCUUUUUGUUGGCUUCAGCUUCAGGUUGGUGUGCAGGGGGUGGAAUACAUCAUUGAUAUCAUGGGAUAUAAAUUUGAGUUGGAUUUCUUCCAGGUUUCUGAAAAAGAUGAAACAAGGGGAUGGGAUGAUAAUGCUCGCAACAAGCCAUUUACGCUUGAAAACAAGCACUUCCAAGGCUGGAAGGUGAAGGUCCCUCUGGCAAUCUGCUGCAACUCACAGCAGCAGCUGCGAUUGGAUUGGAGGAAGCUGCUUUAAGCAGAGAGAAGGAACAUCAGUGUGGAAGUUCCCUCAGUGGCUAAAGUAUGGAUACAGUAAAAUUCAGAAAGGACAGGCUGUCGUGGUUCCUUUGUCCUCUUCCUUAGGCAUGCAAAUGCCAUAAUAUCUUUUGGAUGGCCAUCCUCUACAGAUUUGCAUAUUGGGGAGUGGGGACGUGACGUUAAUGGUCAGUGUGUGCUUUGUCGCUGAGGGCAGGAGACAAGAAAUCAUUUCAUUUUUGAAUCUGUGUUCUGCAACUAUGCCCGCCAAACACAAGUAACGAUUUGGGAAGAGGAGCUAUGUUUGAGAAGUAGGGAAGUUAAGGAUGGUAGAUGUAGCCUGGAGUGCUUAUCAUUAGAUUGUAAUCAUGAUGUGUUCGUAUUUAUCUCACUCACUCAAUUAUGGUGAAUAACUGCACCAAAAAGAAACAAAAUUAUAAAACAGUAAUAGUAGCAUCACAUUACCGCCACUCGAAUUGUGUCGUAUAAAGAAGGCUGAGCAUAACUUGGUGUCUUAUAGACAGUUUCUCCAUGAUUCUCUAGCGGUUGUGUUUUUUAUUUCUUUAGCCAAAUUUGCUAGUAUUGUCUGAUGCAGAGGAUUCGCUGAAAAUAAAAUAUUGGUUUUUUC
Molecule: long non-coding RNA, 1023 nt
Organism: Gossypium raimondii (Peruvian cotton)
Lineage: Eukaryota; Viridiplantae; Streptophyta; Magnoliopsida; Malvales; Malvaceae
Exons: 2
Source: RefSeq, a predicted model, not a curated record